This 483-nucleotide ribosomal RNA is filed under the name uncultured bacterium. RNAcentral describes it as "partial 16S ribosomal RNA". It matches the Rfam family "Bacterial small subunit ribosomal RNA", at positions 29 to 523 of the family's 1533-position model. The record is from RNAcentral.
AUUGAACGCUGGCGGCAUGCUUUACACAUGCAAGUCGAACGGUAACAGGUUAAGCUGACGAGUGGCGAACGGGUGAGUGAUGCAUCGGAACGUGCCCGAUCGUGGGGGAUAACGCAGCGAAAGCUGCGCUAAUACCGCAUACGAUCUGAGGAUGAAAGCGGGGGACCGUAAGGCCUCGCGCGAUCGGAGCGGCCGAUGUCAGAUUAGGUAGUUGGUGGGGUAAAGGCUCACCAAGCCAACGAUCUGUAGCUGGUCUGAGAGGACGACCAGCCAACCUGGAACUGAGACACGGCGCAGACUCCUACGGGAGGCAGCAGUGGGGAAUUUUGGACAAUGGGCGAAAGCCAUGCCGCGUGAGUGAAGAAGGCCUUCGGGUUGUAAAGCUCUUUCGGCCGGGAAAAAAUCGCAUGGGCUAAUACCCUGUGUGGAUGAUGGUACCGGAAUAAGAAGCACCGGCUAACUACGUGCCAGCAGCCGCGGUAA